This is a long non-coding RNA of Carassius carassius (crucian carp), 719 nucleotides long. RefSeq lists it as uncharacterized. The transcript has 3 exons. NCBI's taxonomy places the organism in Eukaryota, Metazoa, Chordata, Actinopteri, Cypriniformes, Cyprinidae. The record is from RefSeq and is a predicted model, not a curated record.
CGAAGGUGAAGUGCACACUCACUGUUUCCCUAGUGCUCGUGUUCUUGAUAUUUCUGCACAGAUACCCGCGAUCCUGAAGGGUGAAGAGAGCCCCAGAGCGGUCGUGCUUCACUUCGGGGUUAACGACACCAUGCUGCGGCAGACGGAGACACUGAAGAGGGACUUCAGGAGCCUGAUCAAGACCUGAUCAUCGUGUCAGGAACGGUUCCCACUUAUAAACGAGGACACAAAAGGAGCAUCCUAGGCUUUUUCGCGGUGAUGGCCUGCUCCCCAGCAGAGUCGGAGCGGAGCUGCUCUCUGACAACAUCUCCAGGACACUUCGCUCCAUGUGACUAGUCACCGUGGCCACCAGAUCCAGUCUGUAUCCAGAUCAGAGGGUCACUGCAGUCACCCGGAUCCAGUACGUAUCCAGACCAGAUGGUGGAUCAGCACCUAGAAAGGACCUCUACAUCCCUGUAAGACAGCGGAGACCAGGACAACUAGAGCCCCAGAUACAGAUCCCCUGUAAAGACCUUGUCUCAGAGGAGCACCAGGACAAGACCACAGGAAACAGAUGAUUCUUCUGCACAAUCUGACUUUGCUGCAGCCUGGAAUUGAACUACUGGUUUCGUCUGGUCAGAGGAGAACUGGCCCCCCAACUGAGCCUGGUUUCUCCCAAGGUUUUUUUCUCCAUUCUGUCACCGAUGGAGUUUCGGGUCCUUGCCGCUGUCGCCUCUGGC